RNAcentral lists this ribosomal RNA (254 nucleotides) under uncultured bacterium. RNAcentral's name for it is "partial 16S ribosomal RNA". It matches the Rfam family "Bacterial small subunit ribosomal RNA", at positions 524 to 776 of the family's 1533-position model. The record is from RNAcentral.
UACGAAGGGGGCUAGCGUUGCUCGGAAUCACUGGGCGUAAAGCGCACGUAGGCGGGUUGCCAAGUCGGGGGUGAAAUCCUGGAGCUCAACUCCAGAACUGCUUUCGAUAUUGGCGAUCUUGGAGUCCGGGAGAGGUGAGUGGAACUGCGAGUGUAGAGGUGAAAUGCGUAGAUAUUCGCAAGAACACCAGUGGCGAAGGCGGUUUACUGGCCCGGUACUGACGCUGAGGUGCGAAAGCGUGGGGAGCAAACAGG